GUGGGGAAUAUUGGACAAUGGGCGAAAGCCUGAUCCAGCAAUGCCGCGUGAGUGAUGAAGGCCUUAUGGUUGUAAAGCUCUUUUACCAGGGAUGAUAAUGACAGUACCUGGAGAAUAAGCUCCGGCUAACUCCGUGCCAGCAGCCGCGGUAAUACGGAGGGAGCUAGCGUUGUUCGGAAUUACUGGGCGUAAAGCGCACGUAGGCGGUUACUCAAGUCAGAGGUGAAAGCCCGGGGCGCAACCCCGGAACUGCCUUUGAAACUAGGUAACUAGAAUCUUGGAGAGGUCAGUGGAAGUCCGAGUGUAGAGGUGAAAUUCGUAGAUAUUCGGAAGAACACCAGUGGCGAAGGCGACUGACUGGACAAGUAUUGACGCUGAGGUGCGAAAGCGUGGGGAGCAAACAGGAUUAGAUACCCCGGUAGUCC
This 425-nucleotide ribosomal RNA is filed under the name uncultured bacterium. RNAcentral describes it as "bacterial SSU rRNA". It matches the Rfam family "Bacterial small subunit ribosomal RNA", at positions 354 to 796 of the family's 1533-position model. The record is from RNAcentral.